RNAcentral lists this ribosomal RNA (539 nucleotides) under uncultured Rubrobacter sp. RNAcentral's name for it is "bacterial SSU rRNA". It matches the Rfam family "Bacterial small subunit ribosomal RNA", at positions 259 to 791 of the family's 1533-position model. The record is from RNAcentral. Lineage: Bacteria; Bacillati; Actinomycetota; Rubrobacteria; Rubrobacterales; Rubrobacteraceae.
AACGGCCCACCAAGGCGACGAUGGGUAGCUGGCCUGAGAGGGUGGUCAGCCACACUGGGACUGAGACACGGCCCAGACUCCUACGGGAGGCAGCAGCCAGGAAUCUUGCGCAAUGGGCGAAAGCCUGACGCAGCAACGCCGCGUGGGCGAUGAAGGCCUUCGGGUCGUAAAGCCCUGUUGUCGGGGACGAAGGGCGAAGGGUUAAUAGCCCCUAGCCUGACGGUACCCGACGAGGAAGCCCCGGCUAACUACGUGCCAGCAGCCGCGGUAAUACGUAGGGGGCGAGCGUUGUCCGGAAUCAUUGGGCGUAAAGAGCGUGUAGGCGGCCCGGUAAGUCCGCUGUGAAAACCCGGGGCUCAACCCCGGGCGUGCAGUGGAAACUGCCGGGCUAGAGGGCGGCAGAGGCGAGUGGAAUUCCCGGUGUAGCGGUGAAAUGCGCAGAUAUCGGGAGGAACACCGGUAGCGAAGGCGGCUCGCUGGGCCGUUCCUGACGCUGAGACGCGAAAGCUAGGGGAGCGAACAGGAUUAGAUACCCUGGU